UUGGUUAAGUUAGAAAGGGCGCACGGUGGAUGCCUUGGCACUAGGAGCCGAAGAAGGACGGGACUAACACCGAUAUGCUUUGGGGAGCUGUACGUAAGCGUUGAUCCAGAGAUUUCCGAAUGGGGGAACCCACUAUCUUUAGUCGGAUAGUAUCCUUACGUGAAUACAUAGCGUGAGGAAGGCAGACCCAGGGAACUGAAACAUCUAAGUACCUGGAGGAAGAGAAAGAAAAAUCGAUUUCCUGAGUAGCGGCGAGCGAAACGGAAAGAGCCCAAACCAAGAAGCUUGCUUCUUGGGGUUGUAGGACACUCUAUACGGAGUUACAAAAGAAAGUUAUAAAUGAAGCGGUCUGGAAAGGCCCGCCAAAGACGGUAACAGCCCGGUAGUUGAAAUGGCUUUCCCUCCAGAGUGGAUCCUGAGUACGGCGGAACACGUGAAAUUCCGUCGGAAUCCGGGAGGACCAUCUCCCAAGGCUAAAUACUCCCUAGUGACCGAUAGUGAACCAGUACCGUGAGGGAAAGGUGAAAAGCACCCCGGAAGGGGAGUGAAACAGUUCCUGAAACCGUGUGCCUACAAGUAGUUAGAGCCCGUUAAUGGGUGAUAGCGUGCCUUUUGUAGAAUGAACCGGCGAGUUACGAUUUGUUGCAAGGUUAAGCGGAAAAAGCGGAGCCGUAGCGAAAGCGAGUCUGAAUAGGGCGCAUAAGUAACAGGUCGUAGACCCGAAACCAGGUGAUCUACCCAUGUCCAGGAUGAAGGUAAGGUAAUACUUACUGGAGGUCCGAACCCACGCACGUUGAAAAGUGCGGGGAUGAGGUGUGGGUAGCGGAGAAAUUCCAAUCGAACUUGGAGAUAGCUGGUUCUCUCCGAAAUAGCUUUAGGGCUAGCCUCGAGGUAAAGAGUCAUGGAGGUAGAGCACUGUUUGGACUAGGGGCCCUUCUCGGGUUACCGAAUUCAGAUAAACUCCGAAUGCCAUGUACUUAUACUCGGGAGUCAGACUGCGAGUGAUAAGAUCCGUAGUCGAAAGGGAAACAGCCCAGACCACCAGUUAAGGUCCCCAAAUAUAUGUUAAGUGGAAAAGGAUGUGGGGUUGCUUAGACAACCAGGAUGUUGGCUUAGAAGCAGCCACCAUUGAAAGAGUGCGUAAUAGCUCACUGGUCGAGUGACCCCGCGCCGAAAAUGUACCGGGGCUAAACAUAUUACCGAAACUGUGGAUGAACCUCUUCGGAGGUUCGUGGUAGGAGAGCGUUCUAAGGGCGGUGAAGUCAGACCGGAAGGACUGGUGGAGCGCUUAGAAGUGAGAAUGCCGGUAUGAGUAGCGAAAGAAGGGUGAGAAUCCCUUCCACCGAAUAUCUAAGGUUUCCUGAGGAAGGCUCGUCCGCUCAGGGUUAGUCGGGACCUAAGCCGAGGCCGAUAGGCGUAGGCGAUGGACAACAGGUAGAGAUUCCUGUACCAGUGCUAAUUGUUUAACCGAUGGGGUGACACAGAAGGAUAGGGAAUCGCACGAAUGGAAAUGUGCGUCCAAGCAGUGAGUGUGAGAAGUAGGCAAAUCCGCUUCUUGCGAAGCAUGAGCUGUGAUGGGGAAGGAAAUUAAGUACGGAAGUUCCUGAUUUCACGCUGUCAAGAAAAGCCUCUAGGAAGAGUAGUACUGCCCGUACCGCAAACCGACACAGGUAGAUGAGGAGAGAAUCCUAAGGUGAGCGAGAGAACUCUCGUUAAGGAACUCGGCAAAAUGACCCCGUAACUUCGGGAGAAGGGGUGCUCUAUUAGGGUG
RNAcentral lists this ribosomal RNA (1771 nucleotides) under Listeria innocua. RNAcentral describes it as "partial 23S ribosomal RNA". It matches the Rfam family "Bacterial large subunit ribosomal RNA", at positions 1 to 1763 of the family's 2925-position model. Lineage: Bacteria; Bacillati; Bacillota; Bacilli; Caryophanales; Listeriaceae. The record is from RNAcentral.